Molecule: ribosomal RNA, 729 nt
Filed under: uncultured bacterium
Lineage: Bacteria
Description: bacterial SSU rRNA
Rfam family: Bacterial small subunit ribosomal RNA
Source: RNAcentral
AGCGGCGAACGGGUGCGUAACACGUGGAUUACUUGCCCUCUGGCGGGGGAUAACAACUGGAAACGGUUGCUAAUACCGCAUGUGGUCCGCAAGGAAGAAAGGCGCGUUUGCGCCACCAGAGGAUAGGUCCGCGUCCCAUUAGCUAGUUGGUGAGAUAAUAGCCCACCAAGGCUGUGAUGGGUAGCCGAGCUGAGAGGUUGAUCGGCCACACUGGGACUGAGACACGGCCCAGACACCUACGGGUGGCAGCAGUAGGGAAUAUUGGACAAUGGGCGAAAGCCUGAUCCAGCCAUGCCGCGUGAGUGACGAAGGCCUUCGGGUCGUAAAGCUCUUUUCUGAGGGAAGAACGGUCCGGGUAGGAAAUGCCCCGGAAUUGACGGUACCUCAGGAAUAAGGAACGGCUAACUCCGUGCCAGCAGCCGCGGUAAUACGGAGGUUCCAAGCGUUGUUCGGAAUUACUGGGCGUAAAGGGGGCGCAGGCGGCCUGGUCAGUGGAAAGUGGAAGCCCGGGGCUCAACCUCGGAAGGCCUUUCCAUACUGCCUGGCUUGAGUUCGUGAGAGGGAAGCGGAAUUCAGGGUGUAGCGGUGAAAUGCUUAGAUAUCCUGAGGAACACCGAUGGCGAAAGCAGCUUCCUGGCACGAUACUGACGCUCAUGCCCGAAAGCGUGGGGAGCGAACAGGAUUAGAUACCCUGGUAGUCCACGCCGUAAACGUUGUGCACUAGGUGCA